CCGACUUCCUAUUUAAUUUUAACUUUAAAAAUAAGCAUUUGAGUUUUAGAUUCAAAACGUGUUUUUAUGAAUGGAGAAAAUACAUACAAUUCCUAAUCUACAUAUUCACUAUGCUCCCUAAAUUCAUUUAUAUGGUAUUAUUGGGAGCUGAGAAUGGUUUUGUCUGAAAGAAUAGCUUAGCCAGAGUAGCUUAGAUUCUAGACCAGAUCUAAAAGUAAUCUUACUUUUACAGAUAAUGAGUUCUUUUCAUUGUUCAUUUGCUUGUUUUCAGUGUAGCUCUCUGUAUCCGACAAAAUGGCGCAUAAUCAUCUGUGAAAAUUGGAGAGUGUGCUCCUCUUACUUAUAAAAAAAAUAGUGAACUGUAAAACAGCCUCAGGCAUGUCCUUCAGGAGGAUUCCAGAAUAAGGCAUUGUUAUCAUAGGAGAUGACAGUUCCAUGCAUGUUAUUGCCCCUGAAGACUUUCCAGUGGGACAAGAUGUGGAGAUGAAGACAGUGAUACUGAUGGUCCUGACCCUGUGUAGGCCUUGGGUCUGCAUGCUUCUCAAAUUGAGCUGUAACACUCACUGCUGCGGUCCAAGCCUUCAUUCUUUGAAGCCCGUGGAACCACAAACUCUUCAAUUGAUAAAAACCUUCGAUCGGAAGAGACUUCUCAUCUCAUUUCUGGGGGCCUGUCCGGGAUUUCUCUGAAGUGAUGGGAGGCGCUCCCUCAAAAGUGAAGCCACCCUUGAGGUAUAUUCUGGAUAAUUGGGACCAAUUCGACCCUCAAACACUGAAGAAGAAGUAACAUAUUUUUCUGCAGCACUGCCUAGCCAUAAUAUCCUCUUCCCGGAGGAGAUCCAUGGCCACCUGAGGGAAGUAUAAACUAUAAUACCAUCCUACAGCUAGAUCUCUUUAGUAAACGAGAGGGCAAAUGGAGUGAAGUGCCAUAUGUACAGGUUUUUUUCUCAUUAAGAGAUAACCCACAAUUAUGUAAAAAAUGUAAUUUACAUCCUACCGGGAGUCCUUAAAGCUUACCCCCAUACCCAGGUCUCCCCACAGCUCCCCCUAGUAAGGACUCUCCUUUGGCCCUAAUGGCCCAAAAGGAACCAGACAAAAAAAUAGUCAAGGAACUGAAAGGUGCCAAUGGUCUCAAUUGUGCCCCCUCCAAGCCGUGGUAGGAGGAGGAGACUUUGGCCCAGCACGAGUACAUGUCCCCUUUCCCCUCUCAGACUUAAAACAGAUCAAACCGGGCCUAGGAAAAUUCUCAGAUAAUCCUGAUGGAUACAUAGAUGUCUUACAGGGAUUAGGACAAUCUUUUGAUUUAGCAUGGAAAGAUAUUACAUUGUUGUUAGGUCAAACAUUAACUCCCAAUGAAAAAGAGGCCGUCUUAACUGCAGCCCGGAAGUUUGGGGAUCUCUGGUACCUAAGCCAGGUAAAUGAUAAAAUAACAUCAGAAGAAAGGGAACAAUUCCCCACAGGCCAACAGGUGGUUCCCAGCGUGGAUCCCCACUGGGACCUCGAUUUGUAGCAUGGAGCCUGGAGUCGCAGGCAUUUACUGACUUGUAUACUAAAGGGAUUAAGAAAGACCAGAAAAAAAUCCAAUAAAUUAGUCAAUGAUAUAAUGCAGGGAAAGGAAGAAAACCCCAUGGCAUUUUUAAAGAGGCUAAGGGAGGCAUUAAGAAAGCAUACCUCUUUGCAUCUGACUCUAUUAAAGGCCAACUAAUUUUAAAGGAUAAGUUUAUCACCUAGUCAGCUGCAGACAUUAGAAAAAAACUUCAAAAGUCUUUCCUGGGCCCUAAGCAAAAUCUGGAAACUCUAUUGAAUUUGGCAACUUCAGUGUUUUAUAAUAGGGAUCAGGAGAAGCAGGCUGAACGAGACAGAUGAGACAAGAAAAAGGCUGCCUCCUUAGUCACAGCCCUCAGGCAAUAGAACUUCGGUGGCUCUGAAAGAAAGAAAGGCUGGGCAGGCAACCCACCUAACAGGGCUUGUUAUCAGUGCAACUUACAGGGGCACUUCAAAAAGGACUGCCCAAACAAACAUAAGCCGCCCCCUCAUCCAUGUCCCUUGUGCCAGGGGGAUCAGUGGAAGGCACACUGCUCCCAAGGGCGAAGGUCCUCUGGGCCAGGGGCCACUAACCAGAUGGUCCAACAACAGGACUGAGGGUGCCUGGGGCAGGCACCAGCCCAUGCCAUCACCCUCACAGAGCCCCAGGUAAGCUUAACCAUUGAGGGACAGGAAACUAACUUUCUCCUGGACACUGGUGCAGCCUUCUCAGUUUUACUCUUCUGUCCCAGACAACAAUCCUCCAGGUCUGUCAAAUCAAAAGGGUCCUAGGACAGCCAGUCACUAGGUAUUUCUCCCACCCCCUAAGUUAUGACUGGGGAAACUUAUUUUUCUCAUGUGCCUUUCUUAUUAUGCCAGAGAGCCCUACUCCUUUACUAGGGAGGGACACAUUAGCUAAAGCAGGGGCCAUUAUAUACUUGAAUAUAGGAGAAGGAAUACCGGUUUUCUGCCCUCUACUAUUGUGAUGCUGCUUAUCUUUGGACCCUGCAUUUUUAACCUCCUUGUAAAAUUUGUCUCUUCCAGAAUAGAAUCCAUGAAACUGCAAGUGGUUCUACAAAUGGAGCCCCAAAUGACCACCACUAGCACCUACUAUCGAGGACCCCUAGACUGACCUACCAACCUGUUCUAACACCACGACACUGAAGAAGACUCCCCUCCUGAGGAACCCUCAACUGCAGAUCCCCUUCUGUGCCCCAGUUCAGCAGGAAGUAGCUAGAAUGAUCAUUGCCCAACUUCUCAACAGCACUUGGGCUUUCCUGUUGAGAGGGGGUACUGAGGCACUAAGUGGCUAAGUUAGCUAGACUUCCUGGGUCAACAGGGACUUCCCUAAGGGGACAUUCCUCUAAGCCAAAAUGAGUCAUAGCUGCAAGCUAAGGGAUUGAAACUUCAACCAAUCAAAGGGGACUUUCUCCUAAGCAAAAAUGAGUCACUGCUGCAAACUAAGUGAUUGAAACUUCACCCAAUCAUAUAGGGAGUUUAAGCUUUAGCUGCAGCCUGAUGUUUUUAACCAAUCAGGCCUGCCAACCCACAAGCAGAUAGAAAAUAAGCUAAUCCUAUGGGACAGAAAAAGGAAAAGGGGAGGAGUCAUAAGAGGAUAUAAGCAUAAGACACCCAAGCCAGAAACGGAAACCCUUCCGGGUCUCCUUCCACCACGUGGAAGCUUUACUUUUGCUUUUACUUUACUUUCACUUUAAUAAACCUUGGCGCUGCACACUCUUUGGGUCUG
Molecule: long non-coding RNA, 3268 nt
Filed under: Homo sapiens (human)
Lineage: Eukaryota; Metazoa; Chordata; Mammalia; Primates; Hominidae
Description: HSALNT0112114
Source: RNAcentral